Molecule: transfer RNA, 68 nt
Filed under: Rhagonycha przewalskii
Lineage: Eukaryota; Metazoa; Arthropoda; Insecta; Coleoptera; Cantharidae
Also listed under: 4 other names
Description: tRNA-Cys
Source: RNAcentral
AGUCUUAUAUUCAUAAACUUGAUUUUAAAUUGCAAAUUUAAAGGUGAAUAAUUUUAAUUCUAAGGCUU